Molecule: ribosomal RNA, 497 nt
Filed under: uncultured bacterium
Lineage: Bacteria
Description: partial 16S ribosomal RNA
Rfam family: Bacterial small subunit ribosomal RNA
Source: RNAcentral
GAUGAACGCUGGCGGCGUGCCUAAUACAUGCAAGUCGAGCGAACAGACGAGGAGCUUGCUCCUCUGACGUUAGCGGCGGACGGGUGAGCAACACGUGGAUAACCUACCUAUAAGACUGGGAUAACUUCGGGAAACCGGAGCUAAUACCGGAUAAUAUAUUGAACCGCAUGGUUCAAUAGUGAAAGACGGUUUUGCUGUCACUUAUAGAUGGAUCCGCGCCGCAUUAGCUAGUUGGUAAGGUAACGGCUUACCAAGGCAACGAUGCGUAGCCUACCUGAGAGGGUGAUCGGCCACACUGGAACUGAGACACGGUCCAGACUCCUACGGGAGGCAGCAGUUGGGAAUCUUCCGCAAUGGGCGAAAGCCUGACGGAGCAACGCCGCGUGAGUGAUGAAGGUCUUCGGAUCGUAAAACUCUGUUAUUAGGGAAGAACAAAUGUGUAAGUAACUAUGCACGUCUUGACGGUACCUAAUCAGAAAGCCACGGCUAACUACGUG